AUUGAACGCUGGCGGCAUGCCUUACACAUGCAAGUCGAACGGCAGCACGGGAGCAAUCCUGGUGGCGAGUGGCGAACGGGUGAGUAAAGUAUCGGAACGUGCCCAGUCGUGGGGGAUAACGUAGCGAAAGUUACGCUAAUACCGCAUACGAUCUAUGGAUGAAAGCGGGGGAUCGCGAGACCUCGCGCGAAUGGAUCGGCCGAUAUCAGAUUAGGUAGUUGGUGGGGUAAAGGCACACCAAGCCGACGAUCUGUAGCCGGUCUGAGAGGACGACCAGCCACACUGGGACGGAGACACGGCCCAGACUCCUACGGGAGGCAGCAGUGGGGAAUUUUGGACAAUGGGCGCAAGCCUGAUCCAGCCAUGCCGCGUGCAGGAUGAAGGCCUUCGGGUUGUAAACUGCUUUUGUACGGAACGAAAAGGUUUGACUUAAUACGUUGGACUCAUGACGGUACCGUAAGAAUAAGCACCGGCUAACUACGUGCCAGCCGCCGCGGUAA
RNAcentral lists this ribosomal RNA (500 nucleotides) under uncultured bacterium. RNAcentral describes it as "partial 16S ribosomal RNA". It matches the Rfam family "Bacterial small subunit ribosomal RNA", at positions 30 to 523 of the family's 1533-position model. The record is from RNAcentral.